CACGUCACCAUGUCCGGCCUCCUACCAGUGAGCCGUCAGCCUCCAGCUGCACCACCGGCCACCACUGGCCACAGACAAGGACAGGCCCUUCUCACGAGGACGGCACUAGAGUUCUGUACAGCAUUUCAACAAGUGCUAAGUGCUGAUCCAAGGCAGCUCUCUACGUGCAGAGGAACAAAUAUGUCGCGACACACUUAUACGCGUGGGUGAAGAACGGGGAAGGGUAUGAACAGCGAUGGGUCUGCCUUUCCUACCCACUGGAAGACAAAGCUGAAGCCAGGGUGAAGUUUAGGCAGAGCUCAGAGAUCUUCCUCUGGUUUUUGUCUUGAUACUUCGAAAUGGCUUGAACCCUGCAGGAGACCAGAUAUUCUAAAAGGAUGCGUGUGACCCUCUCUUCAGCUAUCAGACUGUUGAACAAUGGACUCCAGGGAAUUACAACUUCCCCGCCCUAGGGAAAGGUGGAAGCCCUGGGACAGCUACAGGAGGGAGAGACUUCACAGGGCUCUGACGACUUAGCAGACUCCACCGCAGGACAGACCAGAGCCGAGACACUGAAGGGCGAGGACGGGCAGGACCACACCGUGACCAGGACCUCUUCACUAUGUGAACCUCAUGCCCUCUGUUUGAACCUAAGCUUAUGCUAGUGCCUUAUAGACAGACUUGGGGUGUCACUGGGCCCCCCCAUGCUGCUCUCUCCCACAUGACCACUUUACACAAA
Long non-coding RNA from Peromyscus leucopus (white-footed mouse), 718 nucleotides. RefSeq lists it as uncharacterized. The record is from RefSeq and is a predicted model, not a curated record. Lineage: Eukaryota; Metazoa; Chordata; Mammalia; Rodentia; Cricetidae. The transcript has 2 exons.